CUGAUAUCUUAAUGUUUAGCGAGUAGCUAGCUAAAACCACAGACAAACAAUUAGCAUUGUAAUAGUUUUUUUGCUAGGAUAUCAAGCUGACACUAUCGUAAGGAGAGCUGCUAAGCAACUAAAGGUAUCUAGCUAGCAUACCUGGCUAAUUACCUAGAUAGGUUAGCUGUCUAGCCACAAAUGGCACAAUGAGCUAGAUAUUUCACCGGAUGUAUAAAUGUGAAUCAUCUGGUUGUCGUUUCCACUCACUACCAAAUAUGGUGAUGAGAGGAAGCUAGGUUGCCAGCAGUGAGAGAAGAUGGAGGGAGAUUUUGACGGACAUUCUGCAAAUUUUCUCAUCGAUGAAACAUUUUAUCUCCAUACAGUUUUCUGUUUCCAAAACUAGAACCAGUAACAAACAGAGUGGACUGCGGAUGGAGGACAGGGAGGAAAGCCAGGAGUUAUCAUGUUCCUCAGCAACACCAGAGAGAAUCUCCACCCCUCCAGAACCAUCCAUGUCCUCCAAACACAGGAAGUCACCUAAGGGACGGCAGGAGGGAAAGAGGUCUCAACGCCAUCACACACUUGCUGCUGCCCGACUGAUAGCAAGGCAGGUUUCCCGGCCAACAGGAACACUCCGAGCCAUCUGGGUCUUCGACGGCGGAGAUCUCCCCUAAUAAUUAUGGGUCUGAGAGAUGCAGAGAGCUGACUUUCUCCAUGGUGUCACGGCCGUCGUAAGGAUUGGACCAAAAUGCAGCGGGUUAAGAUGACAUCUAUAACUGUAUUGACCGGAUCAUCUGUUUGGGAGGAGAUGGGACUCUACUCUGCGCCUUCUCUCUCUUUAAGCUUUUAUGGUCAUACCCCAACAGAAGGCAUGAACAGCAGCCCGGCCCAGCGCCUCAUGGCACGGCGCUGAAAAGCAGCUCUGCCAGUAGCCAACACUCUCCUGGAGACCUGUGUGGUGACAGACGUGCUGGAGAAGCUUUGUCACAGAAGACAGGCAUCCAAGUUCAUCUAUGGACCACUGUACUGUCGUAACAGGGUUGACCUUCGGAUUGCUGAGCCAGCACUUACUCAGAACCCUAAUGACAAUAGGGGUUGCAUGACAAAGGAUGGACCCCAGCAAGUCAUGUGGGGCCUGAGGCACAGUACGAAGAGCUAGGGGAUCACAAGGCAGCCGCUCCCUCACCCAUCAACACUCCCCUCAGACAGUCAGGUGACACGCCUGCAAGUGAUCUCACAGAAAAGCCCCGUCUUUUCAUUCUGUUAUGUACUGUUGACAGACAGAAAAAAAUACAUGUAAAAGAAGGGGAAAAAUAAGUAUUUAUUUUAUACCUGAAAAAACUGUUCAUGAUGAAUAUUAUUACUAGGUUUGUUUUGUUAUUGAAUUGACAGCUCCUGUCCUACUUUAUAAAAGGGUGAUGUUAUGGGUGUAAGACGGCAUGUUGAUGCAGCAGUGUUUUUACCGGUGUGCUUGACAUACCUGGAUGUAUUGCAAUGUGCUGAACAAGACUGGUUACUCGCAUCAAUGACUCUGUCUAGUCAUUUACGUUCCAGACAGCAUUGAAAGUAUUGAAAAACCAUCCAGUGGCUUUUUUCAAAACCCCCGGUAUACGGUAUAUACUGUAUAACGCCUAAGCCUAUCGUGAACUCAUCAGGGUGUCCAGUGUGGCAGUCCCCUGCACCAACCUCUCCUAACUGUAUAUGUGUGUGUCUUUCAGAGGGGUUGGGAUAAAGCAGAAGUCCUUGGACCUUGUGUUCAACAAAUAAAGGGAUCUUAAUCUUAAUAGUAUCUCUUUGCCAUUCACCCAUGUCGUCUUCCUGUCAUUUCAUGACCUUACUACUUAUCUGUCAUGACCCUAAUCAACUUGUCUUUGCAGCCAUUCCUGGGAAGCCCCUUUCUACUGUACUAUUAUUAUGUUUUAGAAUUUACUUGUAAUUUACUCUGCAGCUUCUAAUUUAAACCAUAGUACCAUUGUGGUUUUCUUAUUCACUUCCAAUUAUUAGCUAUUAUGUACAGUUUUCCAAGAGACAUCUAUGCUACGCUGCUACACUACACUGUAUGUAACAGGUGACAUCAUUCACAUGAGGUAGUGAUGGAUGCCCCAUAUUGUUGAUGUCUUCCAUGCUGUUACACAGCUAUUAUGUACCGUUUUCCAAGAAACUCGUUCAACGUUUAUGCCACACUGCUACACUAUGUAACAAUGAGGUGGUGGCGUGUAUUCAUGGGUGCCAAGAGAAGCCAGACUUCCCCAAAAAAUGUAGCAAGAAAAAUAAAUGCAGAUAAUAAUUGA
RNAcentral lists this long non-coding RNA (2273 nucleotides) under Salmo salar (Atlantic salmon). RNAcentral's name for it is "lncRNA (ENSSSAG00000115931.1)". Lineage: Eukaryota; Metazoa; Chordata; Actinopteri; Salmoniformes; Salmonidae. The record is from RNAcentral.